GGAGCGGUAGUUCAGUUGGUUAGAAUAUCGGCCUGUCACGCCGGGGGUCGCGGGUUCGAGUCCCGUCCGCUCCGCCA
RNAcentral lists this transfer RNA (77 nucleotides) under Vibrio vulnificus. RNAcentral describes it as "tRNA-Asp". It matches the Rfam family "tRNA". From Rfam's summary of the family: Transfer RNA (tRNA) molecules are approximately 80 nucleotides in length. Their secondary structure includes four short double-helical elements and three loops (D, anti-codon, and T loops). RNAcentral also lists the same sequence under 14 other names. Lineage: Bacteria; Pseudomonadati; Pseudomonadota; Gammaproteobacteria; Vibrionales; Vibrionaceae. The record is from RNAcentral.